GCUCUUCCGAGAACAUAUACUAAAAUUGGACUAAUACAGAGAAGAUUAGCAUGGCCCCUGCGCAAGGAUAACACGCAAAAGUAGACGUUCCAACCGACACGCCUCUUU
Molecule: small nuclear RNA, 108 nt
Organism: Caenorhabditis elegans
Lineage: Eukaryota; Metazoa; Nematoda; Chromadorea; Rhabditida; Rhabditidae
Source: Ensembl